UCCUUCAUGUAGUGACUCAGAGAUCUACGCUCCUUCUACAUGUGCUCUGCAUUCUUGGAUCCCUUCAAUCCCAGCCAUGCGGACAGGAAAAGAAAACAUAGGGAAAUCAUACCAGAUGCCGAGUCACCCAGGCUGGAAGGAACAUUUCACUGCUGUUCACAUUCCAUAGACCAUAUUCGGCAAAUGGCCCACCCCACCUGACUGCAGAGGAGACCCGAAAACGGACAUGAGCACAUCGGUAUUGGUAACCUUGCUCCUCUGAUUCCUCGGGACUCGAUAUUUCAGUCUGUUAUUAAAGACAGAUUUUCGUGUUACAAGAACUCUGCCUUGAGGCUGUGCGCAACUUGAGUACAGGGUUAAAAACUAUAGAAUUAUGUUUCUAGGUGUUUUCAAAGUGAACUGAAUUCUCAAGGUAAAUUCAGUUUCGUGGGUUUAAGGUGGAUCAGUCGUUGUGGUUGGCAUCGUGGAGCAUGCUACAGUGGAGAAGAAGGUCUUGAAGGAAGAUUACAUCUGCCGUGCAGGAAUGGGUGGGAAUGAAGUGGGAAUGGGCGUAGGAAUGAAGGAGAAUGGGUUUCAUGUCAUAAUGGUGCAAUAUCGAGACUGUAUUUUGCAUAUUCAACCAAGUGAAUCUUAGGUUUUGGCAAAUAAUAUUGUAAAAAUGGUAACAGCAAUUUUAAAAAAUACACUAUUCUUUUUUAUUUUUCUAUGUUGCCCUGCAGUUUGUCUUCAUAUGCAGGCAAAAUCUUCAUGUAGAGGGGCUCAUCGCGUGCAUCUUUGAUUCUAGCGUUUUCACACAUCACACUGUCUACCGUCUCCCACUCCACCUCUACCUAUGCUUCUCUCCUUUGGCUCACCCCAUUCUGAUCACAUUGAUAAUCCCCUUCCUGACCUAUCACGCUCUUUCCUAUCUCGAGAUGUUUGUAGCUGAUAUUCUCUGGGUUGGUUUUCACUGAGCUCUUCACAUGACUGGUUCAUUCUCACCUUCAGGUCUUGGCUCAAAGGUCACUCCCCUCAGAGAGAAUUUCCCUGAGUAUCCUACAAACAGCAUCCCCUCCCAUUCUUCUCUAUUACAUCAUAUCACAUCAUCACGCUUAUUUGCAUCAUGUCAUUUUUCACCAUUUAUAGAUCUCUUUCGUUCCUUACUUAUGUUUAUGUUUACCUCACUAGAACAUAGCUUCCAUAAUGAACACUAUUAUGUAUGUAACCUUUCCUCUUCUUUGAAUUAUUCCUGUGGGCUCUUUUCCUGAAUAAAUUCUCAGGAGUGAGAUUAUUGAAUCAAAUAUUGUGAACCUUCUUAUUGUUCUUGAAAUAUGGUUGCCAUAGUGCUCUCCAAAAGUUGUAUCAAUGUACACUGCCAUCAGCCAAAUGUUGUUGUACCCAUUUUACUACAUUAUAAAUCAUUGUCAGUACUGGGUUAUACACACAUGUGAAAUUUGGCAAAAUGACUAAGUGUAUUUAAGGAUUGAUUUAUGAAUCAUUGAGACUAACAAAUACUUGAGCAUGAGAUAAUAUCCUGCAUACUGAAUUCUUCAGGCCAAGCUUUCAAGAUUAUAUACUUCUUUAUUAGUGUUUUUUUAAACAGUUCUCUAUCCUGCAAGUAAUGAAACAUCUUCUGGAGAAGCAUCAAAGCAGAGAGAAAGUACCCAGCCAUCCUGAGAACCACAUCUCUCUCUCCACCAGCCACUCAGCUAUGCCUCUCAAUCAUCAGAGUUACGAAUCUGCAAAUUGGAGACUUCAAAUGUCUUUAACUGCUUAGAAUAUGUGGGAAAUACUGCUGCAGUCACCGCUUCUCCAGCAAGAACCCUGAUGGCUUUCCCUGAACAGGCUCGUGGGGUAAGUGUGUCUCCUUCACAUUACACUAGACUGAGGCGGGGUUUCACAGAACUUUGGGUUAAGGUGGGAGCUGGUUCCAAAUUGUUGGAAACAUUGUUUUGAGGGUGAGCUUGGAGUCCU
This is a long non-coding RNA of Cercocebus atys (sooty mangabey), 1953 nucleotides long. RefSeq lists it as uncharacterized. The record is from RefSeq and is a predicted model, not a curated record. Lineage: Eukaryota; Metazoa; Chordata; Mammalia; Primates; Cercopithecidae. The transcript is spliced from 3 exons.